AUUACAAGAUGAAAGCACAAUAACUUUAUAGAUGGAUGCAGAGUGUGUGUUUUUGCCCUCAUGAAUGCGCAAUUACUGUUGCACAGGAAAAUUGCGCAUUGGUAUCUGCGUAGUGUAAGGCAAGGGACAGUUCUAUGUGUAUGAGGCUAUUGUUGUUGUUGUGUAAGAGAGAGUCGCUAUUGUGCAUGGCUGAGAUGGUAUGUGUUUGUGAGUGGGAUUAUUUCUUGCUUCGUUAUCAGCAAUGGGUUCACUGCGCUAGCUGUGGCAUCUGAUCCUGGUGCCGUGGGGCAGGAGUGUGUGUGUUCGUGUGUGUAAGUGUGUGUGUAAUAGCCUCAUGGUUGGCAAACUCUCUACUGCGGUACUUAUGGCAAUACAUUGGGGUGUCACUUCAGCAGGGUGUGUUUCACACAUGUUACUGUGUGACUCUUUGUAGUCAGUGUGGGUUCUGCACAUGCGUGCAUGAAUUAAAGAUGUAUCUCAUGUCAUUCCAAAUCUGUAACUUUUUUCUUCUAUGGACAAAUUACAAAAAAAGCACAAUUAAUGCAUCAUAAACUGGUUCAUACAACUUGCAUUCUCUGAAGCCAUACAAACUUUGUGUUAAGAAAUUAAAAUUUAAAUCAUUAUUCCCUGCUCUCCCUCUGCCGUAGCUUUCAUAUUAAAUGUCACUUUUAGACAUCAUGUCAGCUUUGAAGUUAUUGACAAUAACUUUGAUUUCACAGAUGUCAAACAUGAUGCAGUUUGCUUAAAGGCACAAUAUAUAACUGAAUGCAGACAUAAAUAAGACUUGAGACCUACACUGGAAGCCAAGAUUUUUAAGUGAACAACAACUUGGUUUGUUUGUUUACAAGACAAAAAUAUCAUAUGACUUAGAAGACUUGUAAUAUAGUUCUUGAGUUGCAUGGACCACUUUUAUGAUACUUUUAUGCUGCUUCUUUGUCAUCCCAUUCAAUAUUCAGAAUUUUUAACUUUUCUGUUCCACAGAAGAAAAAGCAAGUCAUGUGAGUGUGUAAAUUAAAAAGAAAUAAAUACAUUUUGCUUGAACA
Cyprinus carpio (common carp) is the source of this 1043-nucleotide long non-coding RNA. The record is from Ensembl. Lineage: Eukaryota; Metazoa; Chordata; Actinopteri; Cypriniformes; Cyprinidae.